GUACUGUUGAAGAGUCCCAAACUUGGAGGAAACAGCCGUCCAGUAC
This 46-nucleotide non-coding RNA is filed under the name Trichobilharzia regenti. Lineage: Eukaryota; Metazoa; Platyhelminthes; Trematoda; Strigeidida; Schistosomatidae. The record is from RNAcentral.